RNAcentral lists this ribosomal RNA (542 nucleotides) under uncultured Gammaproteobacteria bacterium. Its description in RNAcentral is "bacterial SSU rRNA". It matches the Rfam family "Bacterial small subunit ribosomal RNA", at positions 38 to 573 of the family's 1533-position model. The record is from RNAcentral. Lineage: Bacteria; Pseudomonadati; Pseudomonadota; Gammaproteobacteria.
GGCGGCGUGCCUAACACAUGCAAGUCGAGCGGUAACAGGUGUAGCAAUACAUGCUGACGAGCGGCGAACGGGUGAGUAAUGCUUUGGAAUCUUCCCAGUAGUGGGGAAUAACCAGUCGAAAGAUUGGCUAAUACCGCAUACGUCUGUAAAGGGAAAGCGGGGGCUCGUAAGACCUCGCGCUAUUGGAUGAGCCAAAGUCGGAUUAGCUAGUUGGUGGGGUAAUGGCCUACCAAGGCGACAAUCCGUAGCUGGUCUGAGAGGACGACCAGCCACACCGGAACUGAGACACGGUCCGGACUCCUACGGGAGGCAGCAGUGGGGAAUAUUGGACAAUGGGGGAAACCCUGAUCCAGCGACGCCGCGUGUGUGAAGAAGGCCUGCGGGUUGUAAAGCACUUUUAGUGGGGACAAAAAGCUACGGAUUAAUACUCUGUGGUCUUGAUUUAACCCAAAGAAAAAGCACCGGCUAACUCUGUGCCAGCAGCCGCGGUAAUACAGAGGGUGCGAGCGUUAAUCGGAAUUACUGGGCGUAAAGCGCGCGUA